UGCAGUCGAGCGAAUGGAUUAAGAGCUUGCUCUUAUGAAGUUAGCGGCGGACGGGUGAGUAACACGUGGGUAACCUGCCCAUAAGACUGGGAUAACUCCGGGAAACCGGGGCUAAUACCGGAUAACAUUUUGAACCGCAUGGUUCGAAAUUGAAAGGCGGCUUCGGCUGUCACUUAUGGAUGGACCCGCGUCGCAUUAGCUAGUUGGUGAGGUAACGGCUCACCAAGGCAACGAUGCGUAGCCGACCUGAGAGGGUGAUCGGCCACACUGGGACUGAGACACGGCCCAGACUCCUACGGGAGGCAGCAGUAGGGAAUCUUCCGCAAUGGACGAAAGUCUGACGGAGCAACGCCGCGUGAGUGAUGAAGGCUUUCGGGUCGUAAAACUCUGUUGUUAGGGAAGAACAAGUGCUAGUUGAAUAAGCUGGCACCUUGACGGUACCUAACCAGAAAGCCACGGCUAACUACGUGCCAGCAGCCGCGGUAAUACGUAGGUGGCAAGCGUUAUCCGGAAUUAUUGGGCGUAAAGCGCGCGCAGGUGGUUUCUUAAGUCUGAUGUGAAAGCCCACGGCUCAACCGUGGAGGGUCAUUGGAAACUGGGAGACUUGAGUGCAGAAGAGGAAAGUGGAAUUCCAUGUGUAGCGGUGAAAUGCGUAGAGAUAUGGAGGAACACCAGUGGCGAAGGCGACUUUCUGGUCUGU
RNAcentral lists this ribosomal RNA (700 nucleotides) under Bacillus thuringiensis. RNAcentral describes it as "bacterial SSU rRNA". It matches the Rfam family "Bacterial small subunit ribosomal RNA", at positions 56 to 737 of the family's 1533-position model. Lineage: Bacteria; Bacillati; Bacillota; Bacilli; Caryophanales; Bacillaceae. The record is from RNAcentral.